This 429-nucleotide ribosomal RNA is filed under the name Chloroflexota bacterium. Its description in RNAcentral is "Chloroflexi bacterium partial 16S ribosomal RNA". It matches the Rfam family "Bacterial small subunit ribosomal RNA", at positions 355 to 776 of the family's 1533-position model. The record is from RNAcentral. Lineage: Bacteria; Bacillati; Chloroflexota.
UGGGGAAUAUUGCACAAUGGGCGCAAGCCUGAUGCAGCCAUGCCGCGUGUGUGAAGAAGGCCUUCGGGUUGUAAAGCACUUUCAGCGGGGAGGAAGGCGAUAAGGUUAAUAACCUCAUCGAUUGACGUUACCCGCAGAAGAAGCACCGGCUAACUCCGUGCCAGCAGCCGCGGUAAUACGGAGGGUGCAAGCGUUAAUCGGAAUUACUGGGCGUAAAGCGCACGCAGGCGGUCUGUCAAGUCGGAUGUGAAAUCCCCGGGCUCAACCUGGGAACUGCAUUCGAAACUGGCAGGCUAGAGUCUUGUAGAGGGGGGUAGAAUUCCAGGUGUAGCGGUGAAAUGCGUAGAGAUCUGGAGGAAUACCGGUGGCGAAGGCGGCCCACUGGACAAAGACUGACGCUCAGGUGCGAAAGCGUGGGGAGCAAACAGG